AAAAAGGCAAACCCUGGGUUUCCGUGUCCAACUUUGAUUGUCCGCCUUAUAUGGAAUUUUUUUAUAAUUCGUAUUUUCAUUGUUGUUAGAUGAUAAAAUAUGAUUAAUAUUUUAUGCGUGACUUGUCUUUUUAAUCUUUUUUAUAAUUUUUUCAAAUAAGACGGACGGUCAAACAUUGGGCACGGAAACCAGGGUUUGUCUUUUU
Molecule: non-coding RNA, 205 nt
Organism: Oryza glumipatula
Lineage: Eukaryota; Viridiplantae; Streptophyta; Magnoliopsida; Poales; Poaceae
Source: Rfam